Molecule: long non-coding RNA, 350 nt
Filed under: Musa acuminata (dwarf banana)
Lineage: Eukaryota; Viridiplantae; Streptophyta; Magnoliopsida; Zingiberales; Musaceae
Description: long non-coding RNA (MACU_LNC010827)
Source: RNAcentral
UUACAAGUCCUUCCUUUGAGUCUGGUUUUCGGGGUUAACGUCUUUUAUGGUCAAUUCUCUAUUAAGUACUAAACAAGCAGUUAUAGUGCCAUAUAAAUAGUGCCUUUCUCGCUCUUCUCUCACCUUUCCUUUUUCCAGUCUCUCUAUUUCUUAAAACAUUUCUUAUGUCAAAUCAUCAUAGGUUGGCCCGGGUUCUCCUCAAAACUUCCCUUUCAGAAAUACAUGGGACUCUUUCCAUCCGGAUUUCUCACUUCAUAAUAGAUUAGGCAAUGAGCCGGUUCAUAUAAGUAUACUCAAUAAUGACAGACUCCCAUUGAAAAAUAGAUGCUCAGUUAGAAAGUACAUCCGCU